RNAcentral lists this ribosomal RNA (468 nucleotides) under uncultured bacterium. Its description in RNAcentral is "partial 16S ribosomal RNA". It matches the Rfam family "Bacterial small subunit ribosomal RNA", at positions 28 to 507 of the family's 1533-position model. The record is from RNAcentral.
GACGAACGCUGGCGGCGUGCUUAACACAUGCAAGUCGAACGGAAAGGCCCUGCUUUUGUGGGGUGCUCGAGUGGCGAAAGGGUGAGUAACAAGUGAGUAACCUGCCCUUGACUUUGGGAUAACUUCAGGAAACUGGGGCUAAUACCGGAUCGGAGCUCCUGCUGCAUGGCGGGGGUUGGAAAGUUUCGGUGGUUGGGGUUGGACUCGCGGCUUAUAAGCUUGUUGGUGGGGUAGUGGCUUACCAAGGCUUUGACGGGUAGCCGGCCUGGGAGGGUGACCGGCCACAUUGGGACUGAGCUACGGCCCAGACUCCUACGGGAGGCAGCAGUGGGGAAUAGUGUACAAUGGGCGGAAGCCUGACGCAGCAACGCCGCGUGCGGGAUGACGGCCUUCGGGUUGUAAUCCGCUUUCGCCUGUGACGAAGCGUGAGUGACGGUAAUGGGUAAAGAAGCACCGGCUAACUACGUG